AGAGUUUGAUCCUGGCUCAGAACGAACGCUGGCGGCAGGCCUAACACAUGCAAGUCGAGCGAACCUUCGGGUUAGCGGCGGACGGGUGAGUAACGCGUGGGAACGUACCCUCUUCUGCGGGAUAGCCACUGGAAACGGUGAGUAAUACCGCAUACGCCCUUCGGGGGAAAGAUUUAUCGGAGGAGGAUCGGCCCGCGUUGGAUUAGGUAGUUGGUGGGGUAAUGGCCUACCAAGCCUACGAUCCAUAGCUGGUUUUAGAGGAUGAUCAGCCACACUGGGACUGAGACACGGCCCAGACUCCUACGGGAGGCAGCAGUGGGGAAUCUUAGACAAUGGGCGCAAGCCUGAUCUAGCCAUGCCGCGUGAGUGACGAAGGCCUUAUGGUCGUAAAGCUCUUUCGCCAGAGAUGAUAAUGACAGUAUCUGGUAAAGAAACCCCGGCUAACUCCGUGCCAGCAGCCGCGGUAAUACGGAGGGGGUUAGCGUUGUUCGGAAUUACUGGGCGUAAAGCGCACGUAGGCGGAUUGGAAAGUUGGGGGUGAAAUCCCAGGGCUCAACCCUGGAACGGCCUCCAAAACUCCCAGUCUGGAGUUCGAGAGAGGUGAGUGGAAUUCCGAGUGUAGAGGUGAAAUUCGUAGAUAUUCGGAGGAACACCAGUGGCGAAGGCGGCUCACUGGCUCGAUACUGACGCUGAGGUGCGAAAGUGUGGGGGAGCAAACAGGAUUAGAUACCCUGGUAGUCCACACCGUAAACGAUGAAUGCCAGUCGUCGGCAAGCAUGCUUGUCGGUGACACACCUAACGGAUUAAGCAUUCCGCCUGGGGAGUACGGUC
RNAcentral lists this ribosomal RNA (831 nucleotides) under uncultured bacterium. RNAcentral's name for it is "bacterial SSU rRNA". It matches the Rfam family "Bacterial small subunit ribosomal RNA", at positions 8 to 887 of the family's 1533-position model. The record is from RNAcentral.